CUAAGGCUCCAGAGGAAGCCACGGCUAACUCUGUGCCAGCAGCCGCGGUAAUACAGAGGCGGCAAGCGUUGUUCGGAAUUAUUGGGCGUAAAGAGCACGUAGGCGGCCUUGCAAGUCAGUUGUGAAAGCCUUCCGCUCAACGGAAGAGUGCCAGCUGAUACUACAGGGCUUGAGUACGGGAGGGGAGAGUGGAACUUCUGGUGGAGCGGUGAAAUGCGUAGAUAUCAGAAGGAACGCCGGCGGCGAAAGCGACUCUCUGGCCCGAAACUGACGCUGAGUGUGCGAAAGCUAGGGGAGCAAACGGGAUUAGAUACCCCGGUAGUCCUAGCCGUAAA
Molecule: ribosomal RNA, 335 nt
Filed under: uncultured Planctomycetales bacterium
Lineage: Bacteria; Pseudomonadati; Planctomycetota; Planctomycetia; Planctomycetales
Description: bacterial SSU rRNA
Rfam family: Bacterial small subunit ribosomal RNA
Source: RNAcentral